Molecule: ribosomal RNA, 253 nt
Filed under: uncultured bacterium
Lineage: Bacteria
Description: partial 16S ribosomal RNA
Rfam family: Bacterial small subunit ribosomal RNA
Source: RNAcentral
UACGAAGGGGGCUAGCGUUGCUCGGAAUCACUGGGCGUAAAGCGCACGUAGGCGGCUUUCUAAGUCAGGGGUGAAAUCCUGGAGCUCAACUCCAGAACUGCCUUUGAUACUGGAAAGCUUGAGUUCGGGAGAGGUGAGUGGAACUGCGAGUGUAGAGGUGAAAUUCGUAGAUAUUCGCAAGAACACCAGUGGCGAAGGCGGCUCACUGGCCCGAUACUGACGCUGAGGUGCGAAAGCAUGGGGAGCGAACAGG